CACAGUGAGAUAGGGAGAGAGAGAGAUCAUGAGAAGAGAGAGAAGUAGAGAGAGUGAGAGAGAGAAAGAGAGAGAGAGAGAUCAGGGGAGAGAGUGGAAUCGAGAGAGAGAGAACACGAUCGAGAGAGAGGGAGAGGGUCGAUCGUGGAGACCCAGAUCGAAUUGGAAAGAGAGAACCAGGGGAGGAUCCGACGACCUGGGGCUCGACUUCCGACGAGGUAGGUACGGUCCGGCGGAGCUGGGUCGACGCCGACGACACGAUUUUCGGUGAAACCUGGAGGAAGACCCAUCGAACCCGUAACCCAGUGAGCCGUGACUCGAGUCCCGUGAAAGCCGACCCUACAGGAAUGACUUUCCGACGCGAUUUUCGGCGGGUGGGAGGCUGUUCUUCGAUGGUUUUUGUCUGUAGGGGACUGCCCAGCAACCCGUGCGACCCGUGACGUGAGACCCGUGACCCAGAUCGAAUCGAGAGAGAGACCCGGUUCUCCAUGGAGAUUUCCGGUGACUUGGAGUGCAAUUUUGGCGAGCUUCAGUAGGAUUUUCUGGCGACUCUUAAGUCCAGAAACUAUGGGUAAAAGCUCGACCUUGACGCUAAGGACAAGUUCAAAUAAUUCAGUAAGACGAAGUCAUUUCUUGCAAGGGCGUAGACCUCGCUAAAAGCAAUAGAUCGUUGUCGACCGGCCAAACCUUUAUAUUGUAUAAUUUGUAUAACACCC
Alnus glutinosa is the source of this 716-nucleotide long non-coding RNA. RefSeq lists it as uncharacterized. The transcript is spliced from 3 exons. The record is from RefSeq and is a predicted model, not a curated record. Lineage: Eukaryota; Viridiplantae; Streptophyta; Magnoliopsida; Fagales; Betulaceae.